Molecule: ribosomal RNA, 492 nt
Filed under: uncultured bacterium
Lineage: Bacteria
Description: partial 16S ribosomal RNA
Rfam family: Bacterial small subunit ribosomal RNA
Source: RNAcentral
AGUGAACGCUGGCGGUAGGCCUAACACAUGCAAGUCGAACGGCAGCACAGUAAGAGCUUGCUCUUACGGGUGGCGAGUGGCGGACGGGUGAGGAAUACAUCGGAAUCUACUUUUUCGUGGGGGAUAACGUAGGGAAACUUACGCUAAUACCGCAUACGACCUACGGGCGAAAGCAGGGGAUCUUCGGACCUUGCGCGAUUGAAUGAGCCGAUGUCGGAUUAGCUAGUUGGCGGGGUAAAGGCCCACCAAGGCGACGAUCCGUAGCUGGUCUGAGAGGAUGAUCAGCCACACUGGAACUGAGACACGGUCCAGACUCCUACGGGAGGCAGCAGUGGGGAAUAUUGGACAAUGGGCGCAAGCCUGAUCCAGCCAUACCGCGUGGGUGAAGAAGGCCUUCGGGUUGUAAAGCCCUUUUGUUGGGAAAGAAAAGCAGCAGGUUAAUACCCCGCUGUUCUGACGGUACCCAAAGGAUAAGCACCGGCUAACUUCGUG